AUUUUUGUAGUGUAAUGGUAAUCAUGUCCGCCUAACACGCGGAAGGUUGCAGGUUCGAGUCCUGCUAGUAACA
Molecule: non-coding RNA, 73 nt
Organism: Pocillopora damicornis (cauliflower coral)
Lineage: Eukaryota; Metazoa; Cnidaria; Anthozoa; Scleractinia; Pocilloporidae
Source: the annotation of a RefSeq genome assembly